This 253-nucleotide ribosomal RNA is filed under the name uncultured bacterium. Its description in RNAcentral is "partial 16S ribosomal RNA". It matches the Rfam family "Bacterial small subunit ribosomal RNA", at positions 524 to 776 of the family's 1533-position model. The record is from RNAcentral.
UACGUAGGGAGCAAGCGUUGUCCGGAAUCAUUGGGCGUAAAGCGCGCGUAGGUGGCCUCAUAAGUCCGCUGUGAAAGUCAAAGGCUCAACCUUUGAAAGCCGGUGGAUACUGUGGGGCUAGAGUACGGAAGAGGCGAGUGGAAUUCCUGGUGUAGCGGUGGAAUGCGCAGAUAUCAGGAAGAACACCAAUGGCGAAAGCAGCUUUCUGGGACGGUACUGACGCUGAGACGCGAAAGCGUGGGGAGCGAACAGG